This 65-nucleotide transfer RNA is filed under the name Anindobothrium anacolum. RNAcentral's name for it is "tRNA-Cys". Lineage: Eukaryota; Metazoa; Platyhelminthes; Cestoda; Phyllobothriidea; Phyllobothriidae. The record is from RNAcentral.
GAGUGUGCAGCUUUGUGGCCUUGGUUUUGCAAAAGCCUUUGAGGAAAGUUUAUUUCCCAUGCUCU